AUUGAACGCUGGCGGCAUGCUUUACACAUGCAAGUCGAACGGCAGCGCGGGCUUCGGCCUGGCGGCGAGUGGCGAACGGGUGAGUAAUGCAUCGGAACGUGCCCAGUAGUGGGGGAUAGCCCGGCGAAAGCCGGAUUAAUACCGCAUACGACCUGAUGGUGAAAGCGGGGGACCGAAAGGCCUCGCGCUAUUGGAGGGGCCGAUGUCGGAUUAGCUAGUUGGUGGGGUAAAGGCUUACCAAGGCGACGAUCCGUAGCUGGUCUGAGAGGACGACCAGCCACACUGGAACUGAGACACGGCCCAGACUCCUACGGGAGGCAGCAGUGGGGAAUUUUGGACAAUGGGGGCAACCCUGAUCCAGCCAUGCCGCGUGCGGGAAGAAGGCCUUCGGGUUGUAAACCGCUUUUGUUCGGGAAGAAAUCCUCUGGGCUAAUACCCCGGGGGGAUGACGGUACCGGAAGAAUAAGCACCGGCUAACUACGUG
This 484-nucleotide ribosomal RNA is filed under the name uncultured bacterium. RNAcentral describes it as "partial 16S ribosomal RNA". It matches the Rfam family "Bacterial small subunit ribosomal RNA", at positions 29 to 507 of the family's 1533-position model. The record is from RNAcentral.